This is a small nuclear RNA of Ooceraea biroi (clonal raider ant), 194 nucleotides long. RefSeq annotates it as U2 spliceosomal RNA. Lineage: Eukaryota; Metazoa; Arthropoda; Insecta; Hymenoptera; Formicidae. The record is from RefSeq and is a predicted model, not a curated record.
AUCGCUUCUCGGCUCUCUGAGCUAAGAUCAAAAGUGUAGUAUCUGUUCUUAUCAGCUUAAUAUCUGAUACAAUCCUCAAGGAGGAUUCAGAAUAUUAAACUUGUUUUUGGAACUGGGCGGGUGCUCGGAGCUUGCUCCGACUCUGUCGCGGGUCGAUUCGGCAUUGCAGUACCGUCGAAUUCGGCCCAGUAAUU